RNAcentral lists this ribosomal RNA (253 nucleotides) under uncultured bacterium. RNAcentral's name for it is "partial 16S ribosomal RNA". It matches the Rfam family "Bacterial small subunit ribosomal RNA", at positions 524 to 776 of the family's 1533-position model. The record is from RNAcentral.
CACGUAGGUGGCAAGCGUUGUCCGGAAUUACUGGGCGUAAAGGGCUCGUAGGCGGCCAACUAAGUCAGACGUGAAAUCCCUCGGCUUAACCGGGGAACUGCAUCUGAUACUGGAUGGCUUGAGUUCGGGAGAGGGAUGCGGAAUUCCUGGUGUAGCGGUGAAAUGCGCAGAUAUCAGGAGGAACACCGAUGGCGAAGGCAGCUCGCUGGGACGGUACUGACGCUGAGGCGCGAAAGCGUGGGGAGCAAACAGG